GACGAACGCUGGCGGCGUGCUUAACACAUGCAAGUCGAGCGGUAAGGCCCUUCGGGGUACACGAGCGGCGAACGGGUGAGUAACACGUGGGUGACCUGCCUCUAGCUCUGGGAUAAGCCUGGGAAACUGGGUCUAAUACCGGAUAUGACUCCACGGCGCAUGUUGUGGGGUGGAAAGCCUUGUGUGGCUAGAGAUGGGCCCGCGGCCUAUCAGCUUGUUGGUGGGGUGAUGGCCACCAAGGCGACGACGGGUAGCCGGCCUGAGAGGGCGACCGGCCACACUGGGACUGAGACACGGCCCAGACUCCUACGGGAGGCAGCAGUGGGGAAUCUUGCGCAAUGGGCGAAAGCCUGACGCAGCGACGCCGCGUGA
RNAcentral lists this ribosomal RNA (372 nucleotides) under uncultured bacterium. RNAcentral's name for it is "bacterial SSU rRNA". It matches the Rfam family "Bacterial small subunit ribosomal RNA", at positions 28 to 404 of the family's 1533-position model. The record is from RNAcentral.